UAAAGAUUCAUCGCUGAUAGAUAGGCAUGCGUUCCAUUAGGCAGUUGGCGGGGUAACGGCCCACCAAACCGACGAUGGAUAGGGGUUCUGAGAGGAAGGUCCCCCACAUUGGUACUGAGACACGGACCAGACUCCUACGGGAGGCAGCAGUGAGGAAUAUUGGUCAAUGGGCGUAAGCCUGAACCAGCCAAGUCGCGUGAGGGAUGAAGGUUCUAUGGAUCGUAAACCUCUUUUAUAAGGGAAUAAAGUGCGGGACGUGUCCCGUUUUGUAUGUACCUUAUGAAUAAGGAUCGGCUAACUCCGUGCCAGCAGCCGCGGUAAUACGGAGGAUCCGAGCGUUAUCCGGAUUUAUUGGGUUUAAAGGGUGCGUAGGCGGCCUUUUAAGUCAGCGGUGAAAGUCUGUGGCUCAACCAUAGAAUUGCCGUUGAAACUGGGAGGCUUGAGUAUGUUUGAGGCAGGCGGAAUGCGUGGUGUAGCGGUGAAAUGCUUAGAUAUCGCGCAGAACCCCGAUUGCGAAGGCAGCCUGCCAAGCCAUGACUGACGCUGAUGCACGAAAGCGUGGGGAUCAAACAGGAUUAGAUACCCUGGUAGUCCACGCAGUAAACGAUGAUCACUAGCUGUUUGCGAUACACAGUAA
RNAcentral lists this ribosomal RNA (637 nucleotides) under uncultured bacterium. RNAcentral's name for it is "bacterial SSU rRNA". It matches the Rfam family "Bacterial small subunit ribosomal RNA", at positions 202 to 842 of the family's 1533-position model. The record is from RNAcentral.